UACGUAGGCAGCAAGCGUUGUUCGGAAUUACUGGGCGUAAAGAGUGUGUAGGCGGUGCUCUAAGUUUGGUGUGAAAUCUCCCGGCUCAACUGGGAGGGUGCAUCGAAAACUGGAGUGCUCGAGGGUGGGAGAGGUAAGCGGAAUUCCUGGUGUAGCGGUGAAAUGCGUAGAUAUCAGGAGGAACACCGGUGGCGAAGGCGGGUCUCUGGGCCGAUACUGACGCUGAGGAGCGAAAGCGUGGGGAGCGAACAGG
Molecule: ribosomal RNA, 253 nt
Filed under: uncultured bacterium
Lineage: Bacteria
Description: partial 16S ribosomal RNA
Rfam family: Bacterial small subunit ribosomal RNA
Source: RNAcentral